Long non-coding RNA from Candoia aspera, 522 nucleotides. RefSeq lists it as uncharacterized. The transcript has 2 exons. The record is from RefSeq and is a predicted model, not a curated record. NCBI's taxonomy places the organism in Eukaryota, Metazoa, Chordata, Lepidosauria, Squamata, Candoiidae.
ACAGACAGACACACAGGGAUGGAUAUCCUGGUCCCAACAUGCAACUCUGGUAGCACUGCUGAUCAACAACAGGAAGGAGGGGAAUUCUGAAUUAAAACUAGUUGCUGAACUAAAUCUGCUGAUGGGGAAAACAAUACUACCAGACAACAGAAAGAAUGAAUAUGCAAGGACAGAAAGAAAUCAGUUUCCGAAAAGCUGGGGUGAGGAGAGAGCUGAGCUUUGGAGGUCAACCAAUUAGAACUAUUUCAAGGAGAAAGUUUAAUCAGCAUCUGGAGGACAGAUGCAUGGAGGUGUGGUGGGGGGUUGAGUGGGCUGGGAAGCAUUUGCAAUAUUCUCAGCCAUACUCACAAGUCUCAGUGUAUGUGAAUGCUGUCAGAGCAACCAAUGCAUUUUACAUCUGCCAGCUCCAUUUUAAUGCAGUCUUUCAGCAAGUCCUUUUUCCUUUACUUUGACUAUCUUUGGAGUGAAAAACAAAAGGGACAAACAAAAGAUUGUGAAUUAUAAAAGAUGAAACUUAAACAG